UUCGCCCUUUUCCGGUUGAUCCUGCCGGACCCGACUGCUAUCAGAGUGAGAUUAAGCCAUGCGAGUCAACGUAGCAAUACGUGGCAUACGGCUCAGUAACACGUAGUCAACAUAACCAAAGGACGUGGAUAAACUCGGGAAACUGAGGCUAAACCGCGAUAGAUCAAGAUACCUGGAAUGGUUUUUGAUCAAAAUCUAUAUGGCCUUUGGAUUGGACUGCGUCCGAUCAGGCUGUUGGUGAGGUAAUGGCCCACCAAACCUAUAACCGGUACGGGCUCUGAGAGGAGGAGCCCGGAGAUGGGUACUGAGAUAAGGACCCAGGCCCUAUGGGGCGCAGCAGGCGCGAAACCUCUGCAAUAGGCGAAAGCUUGACAGGGUUACUCUGAGUGACUUUCGUUAAGAAAGUCUUUUGACACCUCUAAAAAUGGUGUAGAAUAAGGGGUGGGCAAGUCUGGUGUCAGCCGCCGCGGUAAUACCAGCACCCCGAGUGGUCGGGACGAUUAUUGGGCCUAAAGCAUCCGUAGCCGGCCUUACAAGUCCUCCGUUAAAUCCAGCUGCUUAACAGAUGGGCUGCGGAGGAUACUAUAAGACUAGGAGGCAGGAGAGGCAAGCGGUACUCAGUGGGUAGGGGUAAAAUCCGUUGAUCCAUUGAAGACCACCAGUGGCGAAGGCGGCUUGCCAGAAUGCGCUCGACGGUG
This 698-nucleotide ribosomal RNA is filed under the name uncultured archaeon. RNAcentral's name for it is "bacterial SSU rRNA". It matches the Rfam family "Archaeal small subunit ribosomal RNA", at positions 1 to 699 of the family's 1478-position model. The record is from RNAcentral.